Molecule: ribosomal RNA, 253 nt
Filed under: uncultured bacterium
Lineage: Bacteria
Description: partial 16S ribosomal RNA
Rfam family: Bacterial small subunit ribosomal RNA
Source: RNAcentral
UACGAAGGGGGCUAGCGUUGUUCGGAAUUACUGGGCGUAAAGCGCGCGUAGGCGGACGUCUAAGUCAGGGGUGAAAUCCCAGGGCUCAACCCUGGAACUGCCUUUGAUACGGCAGGGCUAGAGUUCGGGAGAGGAGCGUGGAAUUCCCAGUGUAGAGGUGAAAUUCGUAGAUAUUGGCUGGAACACCGGUGGCGAAAGCGGCUCUCUGGCCCGGUUCUGACGCUGAGGCGCGAAAGCGUGGGGAGCAAACAGG